UGACCGCUAGCUACAGGCUUAACACAUGCAAAUCGAGGGGAAACGACAUCGAAAGCUUGCUUUUGAUGGGCGUCGACCGGCGCACGGGUGAGUAACGCGUAUCCAACCUGCCCAUCACUUGGGAAUAACCUUGCGAAAGUAAGACUAAUACCCAAUGAUAUCCCACGAAGGCAUCGGAAUGGGAUUAAAGAUUUAUCGGUGAUGGAUGGGGAUGCGUCUGAUUAGCUUGUUGGCGGGGUAACGGCCCACCAAGGCAACGAUCAGUAGGGGUUCUGAGAGGAAGGUCCCCCACAUUGGAACUGAGACACGGUCCAAACUCCUACGGGAGGCAGCAGUGAGGAAUAUUGGUCAAUGGGCGAGAGCCUGAACCAGCCAAGUAGCGUGCAGGAAGACGGCCCUAUGGGUUGUAAACUGCUUUUAUAAGGGAAUAAAGUGGGUCACGUGUGACUUUUUGCAUGUACCUUAUGAAUAAGGACCGGCUAAUUCCGUG
This 490-nucleotide ribosomal RNA is filed under the name uncultured bacterium. Its description in RNAcentral is "partial 16S ribosomal RNA". It matches the Rfam family "Bacterial small subunit ribosomal RNA", at positions 30 to 507 of the family's 1533-position model. The record is from RNAcentral.